CCAACGGCUCUUUUAAGAGCCACCCAAGUUCUCUUAAAAGGGCUG
This is a regulatory RNA element of Phoenicopterus ruber ruber, 45 nucleotides long. It matches the Rfam family "Histone 3' UTR stem-loop". From Rfam's summary of the family: The mRNAs of metazoan histone genes lack a poly-A tail. 3' end processing occurs at a site between a highly conserved stem-loop (modelled by this family) and a purine rich region around 20 nts downstream (the histone downstream element, or HDE). NCBI's taxonomy places the organism in Eukaryota, Metazoa, Chordata, Aves, Phoenicopteriformes, Phoenicopteridae. The record is from Rfam.